GACAAAACGAGGAGAUGAGAGAGAGAACGAGAGAAGAGAGAAAGAAGGAGGAGGUGGCGGCAGGGAAGAGUGACGGCGGAGAGAUGCUCUGUCGGCGUCGGGCUCCAUCAUCGUCGUCGAGCUUUUAAUUUGGUGGUGAGGGGCUCUACUCUUCCUCCUCGCUCGAUCUGUCCUCUCCUCAGCCACAGCUGCGACGACGACGGCGACGGCAGUAGCUCCCGUGCCGUCGCUUCUUCCUCCUCUUUCCUUCAACUGUGACGGCAACGGACGGCAGCAACACCACCCCUCUUCUCUGAGUUUUUCUCUUCUCUGAGUUUCCCUCUUCUCUCUUUUUUCUCUCUUCUGUCUUCUCUUUUUUCUGCGUUCUCUCUCUCGAGUUUGAAGGAUUGCUGUUAUUGUUGAUGAAUAUAUGAUUGUGUGUUGUUUUAUUAUUUUGGAAUUUUAGGUGAGUGGGUGUUUGUCAUACUCAGACAAGAUAUCGGAUGGAUUUUACAACAUACUAGGGAUGAAUCUGUACCUAUGGGUGAUAUGCAAUAAGGUGGAGGAAGUGAAAAAUAUACCUACUUUGAUGGCGCUGAAGGCAAUUGAACCCGACGAUUCAAUUGUGGAGUACAUAUUCGGUGGAGCAAGGAGAUCUGCACAAGCGGUGGAAGAUGAUCAGUAGGAGGUUGAGUUAUUUUCACAAGUGUGUUGUUUUUCCCAUAGGCAGCUUAUUUACUGGGCUUUGUAGGCAUAGGGUCAUUCUCUUCAAGGUCAAGAAUUUAUUAUGCUUCCUCAUUAGUUGUUUCCUCUUUG
Molecule: non-coding RNA, 795 nt
Organism: Arachis ipaensis
Lineage: Eukaryota; Viridiplantae; Streptophyta; Magnoliopsida; Fabales; Fabaceae
Source: RefSeq, a predicted model, not a curated record